UACGUAGGUGACAAGCGUUGUCCGGAUUUACUGGGCGUAAAGGGCGCGUAGGCGGUCAGCACAAGUCAGUUGUGAAAUCUCCGGGCUUAACUCGGAAAGGUCAACUGAUACUGUGCGACUAGAGUGCAGAAGGGGCAACUGGAAUUCUCGGUGUAGCGGUGAAAUGCGUAGAUAUCGAGAGGAACACCUGCGGCGAAGGCGGGUUGCUGGGCUGACACUGACGCUGAUGCGCGAAAGCCAGGGGAGCGAACGGG
Molecule: ribosomal RNA, 254 nt
Filed under: uncultured bacterium
Lineage: Bacteria
Description: partial 16S ribosomal RNA
Rfam family: Bacterial small subunit ribosomal RNA
Source: RNAcentral